RNAcentral lists this transfer RNA (74 nucleotides) under Amphimedon queenslandica. RNAcentral's name for it is "tRNA-Asn". It matches the Rfam family "tRNA". From Rfam's summary of the family: Transfer RNA (tRNA) molecules are approximately 80 nucleotides in length. RNAcentral also lists the same sequence under 1 other name. Lineage: Eukaryota; Metazoa; Porifera; Demospongiae; Haplosclerida; Niphatidae. The record is from Rfam by way of RNAcentral.
GCACGUGUGGCGCAAUCGGUUAGCGCGUUCGGCUGUUAACCGAAAGGUUGUUGGUUCGAGCCCAACCAUGUGCG